Long non-coding RNA from Larimichthys crocea (large yellow croaker), 1370 nucleotides. RefSeq lists it as uncharacterized. The record is from RefSeq and is a predicted model, not a curated record. The transcript is spliced from 2 exons. NCBI's taxonomy places the organism in Eukaryota, Metazoa, Chordata, Actinopteri, Sciaenidae.
UAACCUACAGGACAUCAUCAUUAUUCCAUUGUGUUAAUUCAGUUCAAUGUAAGACAAAGGAACAGUCUAAUACAGUGACUCUCAAACUGUGUAUUAUUUAAAUGUAAAAUAUUACAUGAAAUAAAUCAUUUUAAAUCAUAAUACAGUGAAAGUAAUGACUGAAAUUCAGAUUAAAACAACUCUUAAUAUUGCAGAAAUAUAGUAGAGAGAUAUUCUGUCAUUGUAAGUCGCUACGCAGUCACAUUCAUACGUCACCCCGACUUGUUAUGAAUGAAACUGUGACGGGAAAAUAGUAAGAGAGUUUAAUUUGGUUUGAGAUAGAGAGCGCUUUGGUCGAGAGACAUAGACAGUGAAUGAGAGCGAGCGAGCGAGCGAGCGCCAGCCUCAAUAAAGCCGGUUAAUCAGACAAAUAAAAAGUGAGUGCCUGAUUAUUUCACGGCAGUUACUGUUCACGACAAAUAAACGACGAUCUCGGCCCCAGCCAUGUAUUUUAAUAUCGCGGUCAAGAUGGCAAAAUGGAUAUUUUCUGAGGAGGCUUGAAAAUUGACUUUAAAGGUUAAUUUAUGAUCAAAAAAGUUGUCUCUGGCUGACCAGUCAGUGAUUUUAGAAUAACUUUUUGUCAUGUCUCUUAUUCCUACUUGUGUUUCUUUGUUUAUAUACAUAUAAAGAGUGUGUGUGUGUGUGUGUGUGUGUGUGUGCGUGUGCGCGCCUCAUGUCCCAGUUCAGCCCAGUGCUUCAUACUGGGUGUUUGCGGUGGCUGAGGAGGCAGAGCAGAGCAGCGGUGUUACCCAUUCCACCCUCAGCUGCAGCAUAGCUCCGAGGUGGAAGAGAUCCCUGCUACAAACUCAAAACCAGCAGCCAACACUCAAACACAAAUGCAGAUGUGUGUGUUUGUGUGUAACAUUUAUGACCUGUGUGUAAAGAGUGUACGGAGCAUGAAGGACGUUAAUCAUUAACUCGUGGUGGUCUCGAUAAGGCGGAUGGUGAGUGCUGACACUUUGUUUUCUCCUCGCUUCACUCUAUUGUCUGAUCACAUCCUGCAGGAUCCAGCGUGACAGGAAGACGGGAGUUGAGUCGAGGGUCAUCGAUCCGGUUUCAGUUCCUGUAAAAGACUUGUUGUUCAUUUCUGUGAAUUUAUUUGUGUAAAACCAAAGUCAAAACCUUCAAACCUGCUUUUAUUAACGUAGUAACAAGAUGUUUUUUAGGUGAGUUCACAAGAAAAGUGAAGACUUCGGUAUAAUUUACACUUUUACUGCAUUACAUGUGUCCCCUGAGCAAAUACUUGGAUACUUUACUUGUAAUCUUGGAGUGAGUCUGAAUUUGAUGCACAUUGUAUUUAUUCAUUCAAUAAAGUCAGUUUAUCACUCUGA